This 311-nucleotide ribosomal RNA is filed under the name Microbacterium barkeri. RNAcentral's name for it is "bacterial SSU rRNA". It matches the Rfam family "Bacterial small subunit ribosomal RNA", at positions 401 to 722 of the family's 1533-position model. The record is from RNAcentral. Lineage: Bacteria; Bacillati; Actinomycetota; Actinomycetes; Micrococcales; Microbacteriaceae.
GUGAGGGAUGACGGCCUUCGGGUUGUAAACCUCUUUUUAGCAGGGAAGAAGCGAAAGUGACGGUACCUGCAGAAAAAGCGCCGGCUAACUACGUGCCAGCAGCCGCGGUAAAUAUGUAGGGCGCAAGCGUUAUCCGGAAUUAUUGGGCGUAAAGAGCUCGUAGGCGGUUUGUCGCGUCUGCUGUGAAAACCCGAGGCUCAACCUCGGGCCUGCAGUGGGUACGGGCAGACUAGAGUGCGGUAGGGGAGAUUGGAAUUCCUGGUGUAGCGGUGGAAUGCGCAGAUAUCAGGAGGAACACCGAUGGCGAAGGC